GACGAACGCUGGCGGCAUGCCUAAUACAUGCAAGUCGAGUGAACAGAUGGAGUGCUUGCACUUCCGACGUUAGCGGCGAACGGGUGAGUAACACGUAAGGAAUCUACCUAUAAGCGGGGGAUAACAUUCGGAAACGGGUGCUAAUACCGCAUAAUAUCUUCUUCCGCAUGGAAGAAGAUUGAAAGACGGCUCCGCUGUCACUUACCGAUGACCUUGCGGUGCAUUACUUUGUUGGUGGGGUAACGGCCUACCAAGACGAUGAUGCAUAGCCGACCUGGGAGGGUGAUCGGCCACAUUGGGACUGAGACACGGCCCAAACUCCGACGGGAGGCAGCAGUAGGGAAUCUUCCGCAAUGGGCGAAAGCCUGACGGAGCAAUGCCGCGUGAGUGAAGAAGGCCUUCGGGUCGUAAAACUCUGUUAUAAGAGAAGAACAAAUUGUAGAGUAACUGCUACAGUCUUGACGGUAUCUUAUCAGAAAGCCACGGCUAACUACGUGCCAGCAGCCGCGGUAA
Molecule: ribosomal RNA, 513 nt
Filed under: uncultured bacterium
Lineage: Bacteria
Description: partial 16S ribosomal RNA
Rfam family: Bacterial small subunit ribosomal RNA
Source: RNAcentral